Callithrix jacchus (white-tufted-ear marmoset) is the source of this 9158-nucleotide non-coding RNA. Lineage: Eukaryota; Metazoa; Chordata; Mammalia; Primates; Cebidae. The record is from RefSeq and is a predicted model, not a curated record.
AACCCUGAGUGGAGGGUUUGCAGGUUAAAGGAAUGCCACGGCCCAGCCACGUCCACCACCAACAGUGCUGACCACAGCCCAAGCUGGCCCUGCGAUGCCUCGGGAGGCGCUUGCUGCCCGAGGACGCCUUCAUGCAAAGCAAGCCCGCGCGCCCGUUUCACCACCACCCACCAGGGAGCAGGUCAGAGCUGCUGUUGCCGUGGUGCAAGAGCCAGUCCUCAGCCACCGGGAGGGGAGUCCUGGGACGGCAGGGCCAGCCCCAGAGUCCCACCCAGCAUCUCACCUGUAGCCUCUUCUGAGCCAGCCGGGCCCCCACUGCCGGGCCACUGGCUGGCACUGAACCCCUCCGUCGCCAGGUCCAUGAGGUCCUGCAGGGCCUGGUGCUCCCUCUGGCUGGCCGAGGGCGACGGCUCCCUGGAGUCACAGCCUGCAGGUGGGGUGCUGUGGAGAGCGGGUGACCUUCGUGUGCCCGGCUCUGACUGCUCAGGUGGUACCAGCGGUGGCACAGACUCCUGAGUGAGGCCCUGAAAGAGGCCGGUAGGCAGAGUAACCAUGUGGCCACUGUCACUGACAGGCACUGCAGAAGCCGUCACAUGUGCUGUGCACGGAUGAACUUAAAACUACAGAGCAGGACACUGGCUGUGGGGACGGAGGGUCCCCGGAGCUCCAGCCACAGCCCAGAGCAGCCCUGGGAUGCUCUUCUCCAGCACUCAUGUCAGCAGGCUCCUCCUCUUGUCACGGCCAAGGCCAGGCCUGUGGCAUCUGAGUCUGCUCAAAGGCUUGUCAGAGGCCAGUGGGGUCCAGGCCUGCCACCCUCCUAAGUCCUGCAAGUGGCCUCAGGCAGGUGUGUACUGACUCCAGGGCCAGCUGUUGCAGGGCCGUCUGCAGCGUGUGUUCAGAAUGCAGGUUCCCAGGCUCUGUCCCAGGCAGUCUGCCAGCCGCCCCAAGACUCUGCAUUUUCAACAGCUCCAGGAGCACAGUCCGUGGUGGAAACUAAGGGUCCUCCCAGAUCCUACCAGCAGGCCAUGUAGUUGCUGUACAGAGAAGUUAGGUGCAACCACCAAGCGUCCCUCUGGCUCCUCCCAUCUCUGCCUUUCUUUCCUGGACUUGCCAUCACCUGGCUGUGGAUCCCCAGUAUAGCAGUUCUGGAACUGCCGGCCUCCCCCAAAAGCCUGUGGCAUAUGCCUGAGGAGAGGGGCUCACCUGGGCGGGCUGCUGGGGCACGAGGGGAGGGACCAGGCUGGCUGUGUAGAAGGCCUCCAUGGCCCAGGCCCCGGUCAGUGCGCUGCCCUCCCACAGAAAGCUCUGCUUGCCUUCAGGUGGGGGCAGACACCAGCCUGCCUUUUCCCGCCCUUCCUUUAAAAUCCUGCUGGUGGGAAGUGGUGGCGUGCUGGACAAUUCCACUUCCUCAGAGAGGAGUAAGGCCACACGGUCCUCUAUCUGUCGGCCUGUGGUCUCGGAAUCCUGGACUAACAACAGUGGAGGUGAACCUGGAGGUUUCUUCUUGCGACUUUUCUUCUCUAGAGAGAAACAAAAGUGACACUAUCAACGGUGGGGUCAACCCACUCACCUGGGACCUGCUGGCGUUUUCUCUCCCAGGUGGGGGCUGGCGGUCUCUGUUCUUGGCCACACAAACCUGCUUCCGGUCUUAUCCUCCCAGAAAAGGCACUUUCCAGCCUGAGUGCUGGCACAGCUGCACAUGGCUCCAUCUCUGACCGGGACAGAGCCAUGGCCAUCAGCAGGUCCUCAGAUGGUGUCUCGUCUAUCUUCCGCCUCUUCCGUGGCUCCUUCUUGCUCGAGGGUCCUCUCCGUUUCAGACCUCCACCAUGAUCGCUGAAGCUAGAAGACAACCACAGAGAAAAGCUAUUGGGGCUAGAGGCAUGUGCACUUCUGAGGCUGGUCACACUGGCCUGGCAAGGGCUGGGCCUGAGAGAAAAGAUGGAUGCGGACCCGCCAGGCAGAUACAUCCCCUGCUUCUACUGCCUUGUGUGAGCUUACUCAAUCCAGGCCAAAAGUUCAGCAGGGCCCAGGCACAGGAGAGCCUGGGUCUCUUCAUGUGCUGCUGCCCAGCAGGCUCACGGCAGACGUACAGAGCCAUCUGCAGUACCUGCACAUCCUCAUGUGGCCCAGCCCGUCCAGUGGAGGCAGCAAUGGAUGGCUCUGAGCUGGCUCCCUGGAUUCCCUCCACCUUCACCCACCAGUACUUUACACAGUCCUGGCCACACCAGCAGAAAAGGGUCCCUUCCUACAGGGGCUCCAGGCCAGUGCCUCUGCCCAUGGCCAGAAGGAAGGGCUUCCCAGCUUAGGCUGCCAAUGGUCGACGUUAUACCAGCCACCCCGGGACUCUGCAUUUGCAAUAGGCAGCAGCUCGUCUGGUUUGGAGGAAAUGAACAGAAGUGUUUCCAGCUGGAGAGAACCUAGGCUGCCUGGGCGACUCCCAACAAGCUGGGCAGGAAGGAGGAGGGCAGCGGCAACGCAGGAACUUAGCACACUCCGAACCCACCUUCCCUGCACUGCAGUCAUGCCUCUGGCUUUGCAAAGGCUUAUGCUCUCCACUGGGCCAGGGAUGGCUCAAGUUCCCCUUCCUAGAUAAGCACAGCCUCCCAGAGGGAAAAGAGCUGCCUGGGCAGCUAGAUCCCCCGCCUCUGUGAGGGGAACACAGACUCUCUCCCCUCCUCACUGCCCAGCAGGCCAGGUUUGGGCUGUGGGGAGAAUGCAAGUCACUCUGGCUGGGGUGUGCAUUCUGAUGACCAUAGGCUUGGCCUUUGGGGUUGGGGGUUUAAAGACCCCAUGGGGCAUCCAGCUCCUGCAGUUUUCUACUCUAACGGCCUUCUACAUGGGCCAACAUACAUCUGGUUUCAGUACUUGGAGGUAUUCUAAAAGCAGACAUGGAGACCUUAACUGAGCAGGUGGUUUUGGUGCGGUCCUGCCAAGAAAGCAACAGUGGCUUAGAUGACAUCUAUUCUAAGGCCCCAAGGCAUGCAACCCUGCCAUGCUGCUGUGGAGGUACUAAAUACAGAUAGGCUCCCUGCCAAGAGAAUCCCCCUCUGCCCUCUACCGUCUCAGCCCUGGCCCAGCUCAGCUGCCCAUGACCUGUGUGCAAAGCAGUGGGUGGGACAAACAGCCAUUGCCUUUGGCCUUCUCUUUGCUCCUGACAGCUGUCCCAAACCUGGAGGCGUCAAAGGCCCAAGUUGCCUCUGUUCCUGUGAACCUGGUGUCAGCUCUAGUGUCCUCAGUGGCAGGGCAGUGUGGAGCAGGGCCAGCCCUCUAGCACUUGGGUGGCUGUGGUUUGAAUGCUGAGGACUUGUUUCCUGGCUGUGAGCAGGGCCUCUCAUUUUAACUUUUAAGCAUUAAUUUAUGCAAGAUUUUUUUAAAAAGAGGGUCCUACACUUCUGUUUCACCAACUUUGUUGUUGUUUUUGUUUUGUUUAUUAAGAAAGGGUCACCGGGCACGGUGGCUCAAGCCUGUAAUCCCAGCACUUUGGGAGGCCAAGGCGGGUGGAUCACGAGGUCAAGAGAUCGAGACCAUCCUGGUCAACAUGGUGAAACCCCGUCUGUACUAAAAAUACAAAAAAUUAGCUGGGCCCAGUGGUGCGUGCCUGUAAUCCCAGCUAUUCAGGAGGCUGAAGCAGGAGAAUUGCCUGAACCCAGGAGGCGGAGGUUGCGGUGAGCCGAGAUCGCGUCAUUGCACUCCAGCCUGGGUAACAAGAGCGAAACUCCGUCUCAAAAAAAAAAAAAAAGACAGGGUCUGGUUCUGUUGCCCAGGCUGGAGUCCAGUGGUGCAAUCAUAGCUCACUGCAACCUCGACCUGCCAGGCUCAAGCGAUCCUUCUGCCUCAGCCUCCCAAGUAGCUGAGACUACAGGUGAGCAGCACCACGGCCAGCUAAUUUUUUGAUUUUUUUUUUUUUUAUAGUGAUGGGUCUUGCUAUGUUGCCCAGGCUGGUCUUGAACUCCUGGGCUCAAGUCAUCCUCUGCCCUGGCAAAGUAUUCAGGUUACAGGCAUAAACUACCAUGUGUGGCCAAUCACCAACUCUUUGAACUGUGCUGAAGAAUCUGAUAUUGACCUUGUGCCAGUGGGACUACACUGAGGGGAAGCAUGCAACAAGCAUGUAACCACACACCAGUGAGACGGACGCAGCAGGGUCUCACUGUCGCCCAGGCUGGAUUGCAGUGGCACUAUCCCGGCUCACUGCCACCUUCACCUUCCAGGUUCACGUGAUUCUCCUGCCUCAGCCUCCCAAGUAGCUGGGACUACAGGCAUGUGCCAGCACACCCAGCUAAAUUUUGUAUUUUUAGUACAGACAGGUUUUCACUAUGUUGGCCAGGCUGGUGUCGAACUCCUCACCUCAAGUGAUCUGCCUUCCUCGGCCUCCCAAAGUGCUGGGUUUAUAGGCAUGAGCCACUGUGCCCAGCCCAUAAAAAGCUUUUUUAAAUAGAAAAAGCUCUGAGUGCACAAAGCAUUACUUGGCUUGGUUUUCUUCCUUUCGUCAACUCACCUGGAUACUGGUGGGCUGCCGCCCCCCUCAGACUGUGCUGUCUGCAGCCGCACGGCCUGUAGCAGGAGCUGGGGGCCCACCUCCAUCUUCGUGGCACACUGCUUCAAGUGACUGGUUCUGCUCUUUAAGGUGAGAAACUGUUUCCCACAAAUGGGGCACUCAGGGAUCUGAGGCACAGAAGGUCUUAGUGCCUUUUCAGCUUCAUCCAGGCACCUACAGGAAGACCAUAAAUACAGAAAAACUACCUUUCCCGGGAAUGUGGAUUGUAGCAAAUGUGGGUCCUUGCUGACAUGGACAUGCUGUGGUCAAAGGAAAUUCCCCAAAGCCAGUCCCCUCCAUACAGCCUGACUGUCUCCCGACAGCCAGCCCCAAGACACUACAUUUAGGUAUCUAUUAACAAAGUUGGCCAAAGAAAGCACGGAAAGAUGAAAUGCAGUUACGCAAUGGCUUAGAAAUUCCACUCCUAAAUAGAGACCCCAAAGAACUGAAAACAGGUACUCAAAUACAUGAAACCCACGUUCACAGCAGCUCUAGUCACAAUACCCAAAAGGUAGAAACGAUCCAAACUCCCAACAGUGAGUGAAAGAAUAAACCACAGUCAUACGCCUCAUCUAAGACUGGGAAGGAAACUCAGCCUUACCCAUAAUGAGAUACUAUUCAGCCAGGGAAAGGAGUGAAGCCUGAUCCAUGCUACGACACGGAAGAACCUCAGAAACAACACAGGGAGUCAAAGAAGGCAGACACGAAAGGACAACUGUGCGAUUUCAGAAUCGGCAAAGCCAUCCAGACGGAAAGUUGAUCAGUGGUUGUCAAGGGAGGGAGGGGCAAUAGGGAGUGUCUCCUAAUGGGUGUGGGGAUUCUUUUGGGAGUGAUGAAAAUAACCCGGAAGUGAUUGUGGUGUGCAACUGUGUGAAUAUCCCCAAAGCCACUGAUUUGUUCAGUUUAAAUGGGUAAACUAUAUGCUCUGUGAAUUAUAUCUCAAUGAAGUUAUUUUAAAAAGGGGAUAGGUUGACAACACAGCUGAGGUGCUAUCAUCAUGGUAAGGUGUGGAGAUCCCCACCCCAGCCCUGGGGCACCCGGGGAUUCUGGUCACAUACACAGGAGUGGUGACGGCCUGAGCUGCCCCCACCUGUUCACAUGCUGCUCCCUUCGUGUCACGUUCAUGGCUGAGAGGUUCUUUUGACAGAUCUGGCAGAAGAACAAUCCCUUUUCCUCCAGGCUAUCAUCAUGUGCCGAUGCUCUGACCCGGGCAAACUCCUGCUGCAGGGCCAAGGCCACCACGGCGUCGCUCCCUGGGGCAGGGAGCCCAGGCCCAUUCCCUGCAGAGAAGCGCCGAAGAUCCGUGAGGAUAAAGUCCAAAAACAAGCUCACCCUCAGACCUCGGCUCUGUCGGCUCUGGCAGACCAUGGGGAGCGGGUGAAGCACCAAUAAACCAGAACCCAGCUCCGCCCUGCAGGCCAGGCUGGAAUACAGUGGCGUGAUCUCAGUUCACCGGAACCUCCACCUCCUGGAUUUAAGAGAUUCUUCUGCCUCAGACUGCUGAGUAGCUGGGAUUAGAGGUAUGUGCCACCACACCCAACUAAUUUUUAUAUUUUUAGUAGAGAAGGGGUUUUGCCAUGUUGGCUAGGUUGGUCUCAAAUUCCUGACCUCAGGUGAUCUACCCACCUUGGCCUCCCAAAGUGCUGGGAUUACAGGCGUGAGCCACUGCAUCUGGUUUGGUUUCUUAGCGAAGAAUCGUUUAUCUCUUUCUGGGCACUUGCUGGGUGUGAUGUGAAGAUAGAGGGAGAACUGAGUCAAAUGCUGGGCAGGGGCGGAGCUUACACACCAGCUGGGUGCCUCCUCCGCGCCUCAUAUGUGCAUCCAGGACCAGUGCCUCAGCAGGAUAUCACAUCUGCCUGCUGUGGCACCUGGGGCGGCCUGAGACUCCUUGGUGAAAGCUACUGUAGUGAAAUCUGCAAUGCAGUGCCAAGGGCCUGCAGAUUUAUUAGCUCUAGGUCCACCAAUAAUAGUUUCUUCUCACUUCUUUUCCUUUUGUAUAUUUUCAUCAAAGUUGAUGGUCCAUAUUGUUUCGGGGAUGAAGAAUGGGACCAUCUGGCAUUAUUAUGCUUCUUGGGGUGCGGCCACAGCAAGCACACAGCAGCUAUGGGGCACUGUCACUGCACUGUCUUACCUAGAGCCAGUGAGCCUCUAGACCAGAGAGUAGGGUAACCCAAUGGUUAGAGGAAGGGGUUAAAUGAUCCCAUAAAGAAAUAAAUUCAGCAAGUGGGAAAUCUUGUAAUACAAUUAGCCUACCCCAUUCUUCUUCUUUUUUUUUUUUUUUUUGGAGACAGAGUCUCAUUCUGUCACCAGGCACCAGGCUGGAAGGCUGGAGUGCAGUGGCAUGAUCUCUGCUCACUGCAACCUCCGCCUCCCGGGUUCAAGCAAUGCUCUUGCCUCAGCUUCCCAAGUAGCUGGGACUACAGGCACAUGCCACCACGCCCAGCUAAUUUUUGUAUUUUUUAGUAGAGACGGGGGUUCACCAUGUUGGCCAGGAUGGUCUCGAUGUCUUGACCUCAUGAUCCGCCUGCCUCGGCCUCCCAAAGUGCCGGCAUUACAGGUGUGAGCCACAGCGCCCGGCUGCCCUCCCUCUUCAAAAGGUCCAUGCCAUGGUUCCGGGCAACGUGGCGAAAUCCAGUCUCUACUAACAGUAAAAAAAAUUAGCCAGGUGUGGUGGUGGGUGCCUGUAAUCUCAGCUGCUCAGGAAGCCGAGUGACAAGAGUUGUUUGAACCUGGGAGGCGGAGGUUGCAGUGAACCGAGAUCAUGCCACUGCACUCUAGCCUGGGGGACAGAGCAAGGCUCCCUCCAAAAAAAAAAAAAAAAAAAAGUUGCUGGGUGUGGUGGCUCACACCUGUAAUCCUAGCACUUUGGGAGGCCGAGGCGGGUGGAUCGUCUGAGGUCAGGAGUUCAAGACUAGCCUGGCCAUCAUGGUGAAACCCCAUCUUUAAAAAAAAAAAAAAAGAAUAAAAAAUAAAUAAAUAAAAAAGUCAGUGUCAUGAGAAAGAAAAGAAAACAGGGGGACUGUUCUAGAAUCCAGACCUUAGGAGGCUGCUGAGCUGCAGCAAUAUGUAGUAUGUGAACUACUGAAUACUUGUUCAGAAAAAAAAGAAACCUGCUACAAAAAGUGACCUUGAGAGACAACUUGGGACAUGUGAAUUAGAACUGGGUGCCAGGCACUAUUAUGGAAUUAAGUGUGGUAAUGGUACUGUGUGGUUACACAGCAGCUUCUAGAGGGGGAGGGUCCCAAUGUCUGUAACUUACCUUCAGAUAAUACGGAAGAAAAAUAUGUACAUUUAUAAAGAUACUUGAAAACAGCCAAGUGUUAACAAUUGUUAAAUCUAGAUUGACACAUAGGGGAUUAGAGGAUUCACUGUAAUUUUUUUUUUUUUUUUUUUUGAGACAGGGUCUCACUCUGUUGCCCAGGCUGAAGUGCAACGGUGUAAUCACAGUUCACUGCAGCCUCAACCUCCUGGGCUCAAGCAAUCCUCCCACCUCAGUUUCUCAAGUAGCUGGGAGUACAGGCAUACACCAUGAUGCCCAGCUCAUUUGUAAAAAUUUUUUGGUAGAGAUGGGGUCUCACUAUGUUGUCCAGAUUGGUUUCAAACUUGUGACCUCAAGCAAUCCUGCUCUGGCCUCCCAAAGUGCUGGGAUUACAGGCAUGAGUUAUCAUGCCUGGCUUCACUGUAAUUAAAAACAAAACAAACCUUGGCCGGGCGCGGUGGCUCACGCCUGUAAUCCCAGCACUUUGGGAGGCCGAGGCAGGUGGAUCACAAAGUCAAAAGACUGAGACCACCUGGGCAACAUGGUGAAACCCAGCUCUACUAAAAUACAAAAAUUAGCUUGGCAUGGUGGCGCACCUGUAGUCCCAGUUACUUGGAGGCUGAGGCGGGAGAAUCACUUGAACACAGGAGGCGGAGGUUGCAGUGAGCCGAGAUCACACCACUGUACACUCCAGUCUGGUGACAGAGUGAGACUCUGUCUCAAAAAAAAAAAAAAAAAACCUUUCCUGAAAGGAAAAGUUUUCUGUGAAUACUGAGGGGUUUUUUUAAGAAAAGGAAAAUAAAUGAAAGGGAAAGCUUUCAUAAUAAAAAGUCAUAAUAUUUUUUAAAAAGGAAGAGGGCUGGGUGCAAUGGCUCACACCUGUAAUCCCAGUAACUUUGGGAGGCUAACGUAGACAGAUGGGUUGAGGUCAGGAGUUCAAGACCAGCCUGGCUAACUUGGCGAAACUCUGUCUCUACUAAAAAUACAAAAAUUGGCUGGGUGUGAUGAUGCAUGCCUGUAAUCCCGGUGGCUGAGGCAAGAGACUUGCUUGAACCUGGGAGGCGGAGAUUGCAGAGAGCCAAGAUCAUGCCACUGCACUGUAGUCUGAGUGACAGUGUGAGGCUCUGUCUCAAAAAAAAAAAAAAAGAGGAAGAGGUACCGUGUCAAGGAAACUAGGUGAGAAAUGACCCGAGAGACUCUUUUUCUCUGGCUAGAUCCAGUGAAGUGCCAAAGGUAAAACAUCAAGCAGAGAACCUACCCACAGAAGAAACCCAACCAACGCUGAUUCCUUCCUGCCUCCCUUCCUCAGAGUUAUGUUAAUAACUUAUCUCUGUGUAGCAGACAGAAACACACUCAUCAUACCAU